RNAcentral lists this ribosomal RNA (393 nucleotides) under uncultured bacterium. Its description in RNAcentral is "bacterial SSU rRNA". It matches the Rfam family "Bacterial small subunit ribosomal RNA", at positions 29 to 404 of the family's 1533-position model. The record is from RNAcentral.
AACGAACGCUGGCGGCGUGGAUUAGGCAUGCAAGUCGUACGCGAAAGAGGGGGCAACCCCUUGAGUAGAGUGGCGAACGGGUGAGUAACGCGUGAGGAACCUGCCUUCGACAGGGGGAUAACACUCCCAACGGGUGCUAAUACCGCAUGAGACCACGGGGCUGCAUGGCCUUGAGGUCAAAGAUGGCCUCUAUUUAUAAGCUAUCGGUCGAAGAUGGCCUCGCGUCCCAUUAGCUAGUUGGCGGUGUAAAAGACCACCAAGGCGACGAUGGGUAGCUGGUCUGAGAGGAUGGUCAGCCACACUGGGACUGAGAUACGGCCCAGACUCCUACGGGAGGCAGCAGUCGAGAGGCUUCGGCAAUGGGGGAAACCCUGACCGAGCGACGCCGCGUGA